UACGUAGGGGGCAAGCGUUGUCCGGAUUUAUUGGGCGUAAAGAGCGUGUAGGCGGCUUUACAGGUCCGUUGUGAAAACUCGAGGCUCAACCUCGAGACGCCGGUGGAAACCGUAAGGCUAGAGUCCGGAAGAGGAGAGUGGAAUUCCUGGUGUAGCGGUGAAAUGCGCAGAUAUCAGGAGGAACACCGGUGGCGAAGGCGCUGCUCUGGGCCGGUACUGACGCUGAGGAGCGAAAGCGUGGGUAGCAAACAGG
This 253-nucleotide ribosomal RNA is filed under the name uncultured bacterium. RNAcentral describes it as "partial 16S ribosomal RNA". It matches the Rfam family "Bacterial small subunit ribosomal RNA", at positions 524 to 776 of the family's 1533-position model. The record is from RNAcentral.